GUGGGGAAUAUUGGACAAUGGGGGGAACCCUGAUCCAGCCAUGCCGCGUGUGUGAAGAAGGCCUUUUGGUUGUAAAGCACUUUAAGCGAGGAGGAGGCUACCGAGAUUAAUACUCUUGGAUAGUGGACGUUACUCGCAGAAUAAGCACCGGCUAACUCUGUGCCAGCAGCCGCGGUAAUACAGAGGGUGCAAGCGUUAAUCGGAUUUACUGGGCGUAAAGCGCGCGUAGGUGGCCAAUUAAGUCAAAUGUGAAAUCCCCGAGCUUAACUUGGGAAUUGCAUUCGAUACUGGUUGGCUAGAGUAUGGGAAAGGAUGGUAGAAUUCCAGGUGUAGCGGUGAAAUGCGUAGAGAUCUGGAGGAAUACCGAUGGCGAAGGCAGCCAUCUGGCCUAAUACUGACACUGAGGUGCGAAAGCAUGGGGAGCAAACAGGAUUAGAAACCCCAGUAGUCC
Molecule: ribosomal RNA, 451 nt
Filed under: uncultured bacterium
Lineage: Bacteria
Description: bacterial SSU rRNA
Rfam family: Bacterial small subunit ribosomal RNA
Source: RNAcentral